This 510-nucleotide ribosomal RNA is filed under the name uncultured bacterium. Its description in RNAcentral is "partial 16S ribosomal RNA". It matches the Rfam family "Bacterial small subunit ribosomal RNA", at positions 28 to 507 of the family's 1533-position model. The record is from RNAcentral.
GACGAACGCUGGCGGCGUGCUUAACACAUGCAAGUCGAACGAAGAGCGAUGGAAGCUUGCUUCUAUCAAUCUUAGUGGCGCACGGGUGAGUAACGCGUAAUCAACCUGCCCUUCAGAGGGGGACAACAGUUGGAAACGACUGCUAAUACCGCAUACGAUCUAAUCUCGGCAUCGAGGAAAGAUGAAAGGUGGCCUCUAUUUAUAAGCUAUCACUGAAGGAGGGGAUUGCGUCUGAUUAGCUAGUUGGAGGGGUAACGGCCCACCAAGGCGAUGAUCAGUAGCCGGUCUGAGAGGAUGAACGGCCACAUUGGGACUGAGACACGGCCCAGACUCCUACGGGAGGCAGCAGUGGGGAAUCUUCCGCAAUGGACGAAAGUCUGACGGAGCAACGCCGCGUGAGUGAUGACGGCCUUCGGGUUGUAAAGCUCGGUUAAUCGGGACGAAAGGCCUUCUUGCGAACAGUUAGAAGGAUUGACGGUACCGGAAUAGAAAGCCACGGCUAACUACGUG